This 462-nucleotide ribosomal RNA is filed under the name uncultured bacterium. RNAcentral's name for it is "partial 16S ribosomal RNA". It matches the Rfam family "Bacterial small subunit ribosomal RNA", at positions 28 to 507 of the family's 1533-position model. The record is from RNAcentral.
GACGAACGCUGGCGGCAUGCUUAACACAUGCCAGUCGAACGGAAAGGCCCUUCGGGGUACUCGAGUGGCGAACGGGUGAGUAACACGUGGGUGAUCUGCCCUGCACUUUGGGAUAAGCCUGGGAAACCGGGUCUAAUACCGAAUAUGAUCAUCGGCUUCAUGGUCGGUGGUGGAAAGCUUUUGCGGUGUGGGAUGGGCCCGCGGCCUAUCAGUUUGUUGGUGGGGUAAUGGCCUACCAAGGCGACGACGGGUAGCCGGCCUGGGAGGGUGACCGGCCACACUGGGACUGAGAGACGGCCCAGACUCCUACGGGAGGCAGCAGUGGGGAAUAUUGCACAAUGGGCGCAAGCCUGAUGCAGCGACGCCGCGUGAGGGAUGACGGCCUUCGGGUUGUAAACCUCUUUCAGCACAGACGAAGCGCAAGUGACGGUAUGUGCAGAAGAAGGACCGGCCAACUACGUG